This 73-nucleotide transfer RNA is filed under the name Canis lupus familiaris (dog). It matches the Rfam family "tRNA". Rfam says of the family: Transfer RNA (tRNA) molecules are approximately 80 nucleotides in length. Their secondary structure includes four short double-helical elements and three loops (D, anti-codon, and T loops). Further hydrogen bonds mediate the characteristic L-shaped molecular structure. tRNAs have two regions of fundamental functional importance: the anti-codon, which is responsible for specific mRNA codon recognition, and the 3' end, to which the tRNAs corresponding amino acid is attached (by aminoacyl-tRNA synthetases). tRNAs cope with the degeneracy of the genetic code in two manners: having more than one tRNA (with a specific anti-codon) for a particular amino acid; and 'wobble' base-pairing, i.e. permitting non-standard base-pairing at the 3rd anti-codon position. RNAcentral also lists the same sequence under 1 other name. The record is from Rfam by way of RNAcentral. Lineage: Eukaryota; Metazoa; Chordata; Mammalia; Carnivora; Canidae.
ACCCGGCUGGCUCAGUCGGUAGAGCGCUGGACUCUCGAUCUCAGGGUUGUGAGUUCAAGUCCCAUGCUGGGCA